CCUACGGGAGGCAGCAGUGGGGAAUAUUGCGCAAUGGGCGAAAGCCUGACGCAGCGACGCCGCGUGAGGGAUGAAGGUCUUCGGAUCGUAAACCUCUGUCAGCAGGGACGAACGGUCACUGUGCUAAUCAGCAGUGAAUUGACGGUACCUGCAAAGUAAGCACCGGCUAACUCCGUGCCAGCAGCCGCGGUAAUACGGAGGGUGCGAGCGUUAAUCGGAAUUACUGGGCGUAAAGCGCUCGUAGGCGGUAGGUCAAGUCAAGGGUGAAAUCCCCGGGCUUAACGUGGGAACUGCCUUUGAGACUGGCAGACUGGAGUGUGUGAGAGGAUAGUGGAAUUCCAGGUGUAGGAGUGAAAUCCGUAGAUAUCUGGAAGAACAUCAGUGGCGAAGGCAGCUAUCUGGGACGUAACUGACGCUGAGGAGCGAAAGCGUGGGUAGCAAACAGGAUUAGAUACCCCAGUAGUC
RNAcentral lists this ribosomal RNA (465 nucleotides) under uncultured bacterium. Its description in RNAcentral is "partial 16S ribosomal RNA". It matches the Rfam family "Bacterial small subunit ribosomal RNA", at positions 338 to 795 of the family's 1533-position model. The record is from RNAcentral.